GAGCUCGUAGGCGGUUUGUCGCGUCUGCCGUGAAAGUCCGGGGCUUAACCCCGGAUCUGCGGUGGGUACGGGCAGACUAGAGUGCAGUAGGGGAGACUGGAAUUCCUGGUGUAGCGGUGAAAUGCGCAGAUAUCAGGAGGAACACCGAUGGCGAAGGCAGGUCUCUGGGCUGUAACUGACGCUGAGGAGCGAAAGCAUGGGGAGCGAACAGGAUUAGAUACCCUGGUAGUCCAUGCCGUAAACGUUGGGCACUAGGUGUGGGGGACAUUCCACGUUUUCCGCGCCGUAGCUAACGCAUUAAGUGCCCCGCCUGGGGAGUACGGCCGCAAGGCUAAAACUCAAAGGAAUUGACGGGGGCCCGCACAAGCGGCGGAGCAUGCGGAUUAAUUCGAUGCAACGCGAAGAACCUUACCAAGGCUUGACAUGUUCCUGACCGCCGUAGAGAUACGGUUUCCCCUUUGGGGCAGGUUCACAGGUGGUGCAUGGUUGUCGUCAGCUCGUGUCGUGAGAUGUUGGGUUAAGUCCCGCAACGAGCGCAACCCUCGUUCCAUGUUGCCAGCACGUAGUGGUGGGGACUCAUGGGAGACUGCCGGGGUCAACUCGGAGGAAGGUGGGGACGACGUCAAAUCAUCAUGCCCCUUAUGUCUUGGGCUUCACGCAUGCUACAAUGGCCGGUACAAUGGGUUGCGAUACUGUGAGGUGUAGCUAAUCCCAAAAAGCCGGUCUCAGUUCGGAUUGGGGUCUGCAACUCGACCCCAUGAAGUCGGAGUCGCUAGUAAUCGCAG
Molecule: ribosomal RNA, 785 nt
Filed under: uncultured bacterium
Lineage: Bacteria
Description: bacterial SSU rRNA
Rfam family: Bacterial small subunit ribosomal RNA
Source: RNAcentral